AUGUGGAUUUAAUGCAAGCACCAAUGCAUAGGAUCACAUCAGAACUCCUUAGUUACAUGUGCUUGGGCUACAGUAGUAUUGGGAUGGGUGUGAUCCUGGGAAGUGCUUGUGUUUUACCUC
Molecule: non-coding RNA, 120 nt
Organism: Lupinus albus (white lupine)
Lineage: Eukaryota; Viridiplantae; Streptophyta; Magnoliopsida; Fabales; Fabaceae
Source: the annotation of a GenBank genome assembly